Molecule: ribosomal RNA, 1449 nt
Filed under: uncultured organism
Description: SSU rRNA
Rfam family: Bacterial small subunit ribosomal RNA
Source: RNAcentral
AUGAACGCUAGCUACAGGCUUAACACAUGCAAGUCGAGGGGCAGCAUGGUCUUAGCUUGCUAAGGCCGAUGGCGACCGGCGCACGGGUGAGUAACGCGUAUCCAACCUGCCUUACACUCUUGGACAGCCUUCUGAAAGGGAGAUUAAUACAAGAUGUUAUCAUGAGUAAGCAUUUUCGCAUGAUUAAAGGUUUACCGGUGUAAGAUGGGGAUGCGUUCCAUUAGAUAGUAGGCGGGGUAACGGCCCACCUAGUCUUCGAUGGAUAGGGGUUCUGAGAGGAAGGUCCCCCACAUUGGAACUGAGACACGGUCCAAACUCCUACGGGAGGCAGCAGUGAGGAAUAUUGGUCAAUGGACGAGAGUCUGAACCAGCCAAGUAGCGUGAAGGAUGAAGGUUCUAUGGAUUGUAAACUUCUUUUAUACGGGAAUAAACGGAUCCACGUGUGGAUUUUUGCAUGUACCGUAUGAAUAAGGAUCGGCUAACUCCGUGCCAGCAGCCGCGGUAAUACGGAGGAUCCGAGCGUUAUCCGGAUUUAUUGGGUUUAAAGGGAGCGUAGAUGGGUUGUUAAGUCAGUUGUGAAAGUUUGCGGCUCAACCGUAAAAUUGCAAUUGAUACUGGCAGUCUUGAGUACAGUUGAGGUAGGCGGAAUUCGUGGUGUAGCGGUGAAAUGCUUAGAUAUCACGAAGAACUCCGAUUGCGAAGGCAGCUUACUAACCUGUAACUGACAUUGAUGCUCGAAAGUGUGGGUAUCAAACAGGAUUAGAUACCCUGGUAGUCCACACGGUAAACGAUGAAUACUCGCUGUAGGCGAUAUACAGUCUGCGGCCAAGCGAAAGCAUUAAGUAUUCCACCUGGGGAGUACGCCGGCAACGGUGAAACUCAAAGGAAUUGACGGGGGCCCGCACAAGCGGAGGAACAUGUGGUUUAAUUCGAUGAUACGCGAGGAACCUUACCCGGGCUUAAAUUGCAACCGAAUAUGGCGGAAACGCUAUAGCUAGCAAUAGCGGUUGUGAAGGUGCUGCAUGGUUGUCGUCAGCUCGUGCCGUGAGGUGUCGGCUUAAGUGCCAUAACGAGCGCAACCCUUGCCGAUAGUUACUAACAGGUCAUGCUGAGGACUCUGUCGGGACUGCCAUCGUAAGAUGUGAGGAAGGUGGGGAUGACGUCAAAUCAGCACGGCCCUUACGUCCGGGGCUACACACGUGUUACAAUGGGGGGUACAGAGGGCUGCUACCACGCAAGUGGAUGCCAAUCCCAAAAACCUCUCUCAGUUCGGAUUGAAGUCUGCAACCCGACUUCAUGAAGCUGGAUUCGCUAGUAAUCGCGCAUCAGCCACGGCGCGGUGAAUACGUUCCCGGGCCUUGUACACACCGCCCGUCAAGCCAUGGGAGCCGGGGGUACCUGAAGUGCGUAACCGCAAGGAGCGCCCUAGGGUAAAACUGGUGACUGGGG